RNAcentral lists this long non-coding RNA (330 nucleotides) under Canis lupus familiaris (dog). RNAcentral describes it as "lncRNA (ENSCAFG00040016570.1)". Lineage: Eukaryota; Metazoa; Chordata; Mammalia; Carnivora; Canidae. The record is from RNAcentral.
AUGUUCCUCUUGAGAUCCAUGCCCCCAACAGCUUCUAUUAAUUUUCUCAAUCCAAGAAGAAGAAGAAGCAUAUUUCAAAGUUCAGAGAGGAAGGCUUAUCUAACAGACUGGCCAGUGAUGGAAUGGAUGCUUCACAGAUAUUUCAAGCAGGCUACAAGAAUCCUCCCAGUUGAGUCCUACUACAAAUCCAUCAUUGAUCCUGGAUCCAGGCUACAGCUGGCAAAGGAGAGGAAAUACAGAGUUCAAAAUAAGCCCACCUUGUACCCAAGAGGCAAUGUUGUAGUGAAGAAAAUUAAUGUCAUUGAGAAUAAUAUGCUGAAGUUAGCAUGA